AGGGCUGAGCAGCACUGGCAUU
Molecule: unclassified non-coding RNA, 22 nt
Filed under: Mus musculus (house mouse)
Lineage: Eukaryota; Metazoa; Chordata; Mammalia; Rodentia; Muridae
Description: oocyte_clustered_small_RNA379
Source: RNAcentral